RNAcentral lists this long non-coding RNA (2030 nucleotides) under Rattus norvegicus (Norway rat). Its description in RNAcentral is "long non-coding RNA NONRATT008308". The record is from RNAcentral. Lineage: Eukaryota; Metazoa; Chordata; Mammalia; Rodentia; Muridae.
UGACAGCAAAACUGGGUAUUUAGUCUCCCUGCAUGUGGUUUGGUGCGAGCAGACAGACCUGCAAUCCGGAGUCAUGGAAGGUAGAUGUGCUUUGUUUCAUUUCUCUGCAAAGCUGGCAAACAGCUGAAGCUUAAUUAUUUGACUUGAUUGAUAGGACUGGAGCGGGAGAAACGGAACAGAUGUUCCUCUGAGACUUUGAUUACAGAAGCCUUGUGUGGAUUGGUUUUGUAUUUGUAGCUCAAAGCCAUUGUUGUCCAAAUCAAACUCUGCUAAGUUAUCAAAGCUAUGUAUUUUUUUUCCCUUGAGAACUUAGGGCAUAAAGGGGAGCCCAUGACACUAGGAAAGCCAGCUUACUGCCACGUGCCAUUCCUCUGGCCACUAGGAGGUGCUGUUGCCCUUCAUUGAGGUCUAGAUGUACCUAUUGAUUUGUUUAGAAAAACCAAAUUCUUUAAGACAUUUUACUUACUAUCUAGAAGGAAUAAACUCCGUUUCCCCUACUUAAGAAAGGAGCAAUAUGUUCCCCUUCAGAACACAGCAUUCUAACUGACUUUCCAUUCAUUUUCGCAUUUCACAUACUGCCACAAAGUAGUCUUUGAGUUCACUAGAAAAUUCCAACAGCAUAGUUUUUUUUUAAUAUUUUCUUUUCAUUGUUGUUGAUGUUGUUUGUUAAAAACCUUUCAUAGAUAUUUUAUUUACUUGCUGAAGAUUCAGGGAAUUCUGAGACCCUGAGUUUAGAAACAUCUGGUCUACCUCAGUUAAAUGUUGACUGCUUAGAAAUAGAGCUGAAAUGAUCACCACAGCCAUAAAAUGGUUUGACUAAGAAAGAUUUAUAUAAUGUUUACAAACCUGGAAUCAAGUCAGAUUACCUGAAAGCUAAAGAUUAGGGUUAGAGCAAGUAUUUAAUUCAGGUAUUUUCAAGUCUUAAAACUUGUUUACCUAGUAAAAUUAGGUGUUUUUUCUCACAUAAAAACUCCAUUGAAAUUAUAUGCCCUGAUUUGCAAUAUUUUCCCCAUAAAAAUUAAAUGUGAAAGAAUAGUAAUUUACUAGGUAUGUUUGGGGCGGGAUAUUUUGUUAAUAGGUUUUCUUUUUCCUUCUAACCUGUGUAAUGAGCUUCCGAAAAGAGUAUAACUGUUUUAGAACAAAUUACUUUGUCAUUUUCCUUUCCCUUUUUCUUUACAGUGUUAGGUAUUUUUAAAUGAAAAAUUAUGCACUCUCUGACUUCAAUUUCACUAAUGUAAUUAUUUUCUUGGGAAUUCUUUUAGAUUUAAAUUACCAUCAUAUAAACCUUUCUUAUAGCAAAGCCAGCGUUUGUUUUCUCACCAAACUCCAUGCCAGACUCAUCAUAAAGAAAGCUCAGCCUAAGUAAUUCAAACAGUGCUUAUAGUUUUAGAGGGAGGGUAGCAUUUACUAAAUAUUCCAGCUGGUUGUUUUAUGCACAAGGCUACAGUCAGAACAUAGAAAAAAAAAAACAUUCUGUGAAUGAAACAUUGUAUGUUCAGAUUUUAUAAAAAGACAUUUUUAAAAGCCCAAUUUACAGCCGUAUAUUUUCUUAUGAUGUAAUUUAUGAAAAAGCUGUCUGUACUAACAGGUGCUGUAACACUACUGUUGUUGGGUUUUAUUGUUUGGUGAUAAAUGUAAACAAUAUUUCUAAUGGAAACUAUGUACUGUGAUGUAAAAGUCUGGGCAAAAUGUAUAUAAUCCUUGUAUAUAAUUGUGUAUUUGAUUAUAUUACUGAUUGUAAAUUUAAUAAAACAUGUAAAUAUUCUGGUCUAGUUUUAAAUUUCAGAUUUUUAGAAUCAUUGUACAAAUAUCUAGAAUUUGGUAUGUCUGUUUUCCUUUUGUUUCUCUUUACCCCAGGGCAGUGAAUCCGCAGGCGUUUUGGGGUAGAGAAACCAAUGCAAGCAUCACUUCUAAAACUCAGAUAGCACCCAGUACAAACGAGUUUAAAAACAGUAGUAAUUUUGUGUCACUGUUGGUAACAUUUGUGUCUUGAAUUUACUUAUAUUUAAUAAAAUUACUUGCCCUCUUUU